AAUUUUGGUAAAUGGGGGAAACCCUGAUCCCGCCAUCCCGCGAGUAUGAUGAAGGCCNNNGGGUUNUCAAGUAUUUUUGGCAGNGACNAAAACGUAUCUCCUACUACGAACAACUUCUGUCGGUAUCUGCUGAUUAAGCUCCGGCUAACGCCGAGUCCGCAGCCGCGCUAAUACGUAGGGUGCAAGCGUUAAUCGGAAUUCUUGGGCGUAAAGCGUGUGUAGGCGGUUCGGAAAGAAAGAUGUGAAAUCCCAGGGCUCAACCUUGGAACUGCAUUUUUAACUGCCGAGCUAGAGUAUGUCAGAGGGGGGUAGAAUUCCACGUGUAGCAGUGAAAUGCGUAGAUAUGUGGAGGAAUACCGAUGGCGAAGGCAGCCCCCUGGGAUAAUACUGACGCUCAGACACGAAAGCGUGGGGAGCAAACA
Molecule: ribosomal RNA, 422 nt
Filed under: uncultured bacterium
Lineage: Bacteria
Description: partial 16S ribosomal RNA
Rfam family: Bacterial small subunit ribosomal RNA
Source: RNAcentral